AACAGGGAUUGCCCUAGUAACGGCGAGUGAAGCGGCAACAGCUCAAAUUUGAAAUCUGGCUCUUUCAGAGUCCGAGUUGUAAUUUGCAGAGGGCGCUUUGGCUUUGGCAGCGGUCCAAGUUCCUUGGAACAGGACGUCACAGAGGGUGAGAAUCCCGUACGUGGUCGCUAGCUAUUGCCGUGUAAAGCCCCUUCGACGAGUCGAGUUGUUUGGGAAUGCAGCUCUAAAUGGGAGGUAAAUUUCUUCUAAAGCUAAAUAUUGGCCAGAGACCGAUAGCGCACAAGUAGAGUGAUCGAAAGAUGAAAAGCACUUUGGAAAGAGAGUCAAACAGCACGUGAAAUUGUUGAAAGGGAAGCGCUUGCAGCCAGACUUGCUUGCAGUUGCUCAUCCGGGCUUUUGCCCGGUGCACUCUUCUGCAGGCAGGCCAGCAUCAGUUUGGGCGGUGGGAUAAAGGUCUCUGUCAUGUACCUCUCUUCGGGGAGGCCUUAUAGGGGAGGCGACAUACCACCAGCCUAGACUGAGGUCCGCGCAUCUGCUAGGAUGCUGGCGUAAUGGCUGUAAGCGGCCCGUCUUGAAACACGGACCAAGGAGUCUAACAUCUAUGCGAGUGUUUGGGUGUCAAGCCCGAGCGCGUAAUGAAAGUGAACGGAGGUGGGAACCCGCAAGGGUGCACCAUCGACCGAUCCUGAAGUUUACGGAAGGAUUUGAGUAAGAGCAUGGCUGUUGGGACCCGAAAGAUGGUGAACUAUGCUUGAAUAGGGUGAAGCCAGAGGAAACUCUGGUGGAGGCUCGCAGCGGUUCUGACGUGCAAAUCGAUCGUCAAAUUUGGGCAUAGGGGCGAAAGACUAAU
RNAcentral lists this ribosomal RNA (850 nucleotides) under Exserohilum longirostratum. RNAcentral describes it as "partial 28S ribosomal RNA". It matches the Rfam family "Eukaryotic large subunit ribosomal RNA", at positions 67 to 935 of the family's 3401-position model. Lineage: Eukaryota; Fungi; Ascomycota; Dothideomycetes; Pleosporales; Pleosporaceae. The record is from RNAcentral.